GACGAACGCUGGCGGCGUGCCUAAUACAUGCAAGUUGAGCGCUGAAGGUUGGUACUUGUACCAACUGGAUGAGCAGCGAACGGGUGAGUAACGCGUGGGGAAUCUGCCUUUGAGCGGGGGACAACAUUUGGAAACGAAUGCUAAUACCGCAUAAAAACUUUAAACACAAGUUUUAAGUUUGAAAGAUGCAAUUGCAUCACUCAAAGAUGAUCCCGCGUUGUAUUAGCUAGUUGGUGAGGUAAAGCUCACCAAGGCGAUGUUACAUAGCCGACCUGAGAGGGUGAUCGCCCACAUUGGAACUGAACCCCGCCCAAACUCCUACGGGAGGCAGCAGUAGGGAAUCUUCGGCAAUGGACGAAAGUCUGACCGAGCAACGCCGCGUGAGUGAAGAAGGUUUUCGGAUCGUAAAACUCUGUUGGUAGAGAAGAACGUUGGUGAGAGUGGAAAGCUCAUCAAGUGACGGUAACUACCCAGAAAGGGACGGCUAACUACGUG
This 495-nucleotide ribosomal RNA is filed under the name uncultured bacterium. RNAcentral describes it as "partial 16S ribosomal RNA". It matches the Rfam family "Bacterial small subunit ribosomal RNA", at positions 28 to 507 of the family's 1533-position model. The record is from RNAcentral.